GUGCCACAACCCCGUAAAGGGGGAAUAAACCCCCCUCAGGUCAGGAGUUCCUGGGGAGGAGAGCUGAGUUUUCCAAAAUUAACUAAUUUUUCCUGAACGUCUGAUUUCAAAACGUUUACUGAGCUUUCCUGUGUUCCAUCAAGGCCUCUGCUUCCAGGAACUGGGAAAGGAGAGGUGGGUUCACUGCGGGUCUGCCUGGCUGGGCAGCAGGAGAGGAGGUGGGUUCAUUGCGGGUCUGUCUGGCCGGGCUGCAGGACGUGCACUCAGACUCAGCCCGUGUGGUUUCCAAGGCCCGAAGGACACACCAGGCCAGAUGCCCCCAUCACACACAGGGCUAGGGAGCAGCAACUGGGGUCCACGGUGGUUCCGCCCCACCCCACCCCGCAGGGCCACCCUCCGAGAGCAGUGCUAUUGUUGGUUCUCGCCAUAGAACCUGGGUUUAGGUUUGGGGGCCCAGGGGCUGCCUGGUGGGGGGGUGGGGUGAUAUGGUUUGGUUCUGUGUCCUCACACAAAUCUCAUCUCGAACUGUAAUCCCUGUGUCGAGGGAGGGAGGUGAUUGGAUCAUGGAGGAGGGUUUC
Molecule: long non-coding RNA, 578 nt
Filed under: Homo sapiens (human)
Lineage: Eukaryota; Metazoa; Chordata; Mammalia; Primates; Hominidae
Description: HSALNT0226288
Source: RNAcentral